AAUCAACGCUGGCGGCGUGCCUCAGACAUGCAAGUCGAACGCGAAAUUUCCCUUCGGGGAGAAAGUAGAGUGGCGCACGGGUGAGUAACACGUGGGUAAUUUACCUUCGGGUGGGGAGUAACAGUCGGAACGACUGCUAAUACCGCAUGAUGCAGCGGCACCACAUGGUGACAGUUGUUAAAGCGGGGGAUCGCAAGACCCCGCGCCUGAAGAGAAGCCCGCGGCAGAUUAGCUAGUUGGUAGGUAAUGGCUUACCAAGGCAACGAUCUGUAGCCGGCCUGAGAGGGCGGUCGGCCACACUGACACUGAAUAACGGGUCAGACUCCUACGGGAGGCAGCAGUCGGGAAUUUUGGGUCAAUGGGCGCAAGCCUGACCCAGCAACGCCGCGUGAAGGAUGAAGU
Molecule: ribosomal RNA, 402 nt
Filed under: uncultured bacterium
Lineage: Bacteria
Description: bacterial SSU rRNA
Rfam family: Bacterial small subunit ribosomal RNA
Source: RNAcentral